Molecule: ribosomal RNA, 460 nt
Filed under: uncultured bacterium
Lineage: Bacteria
Description: partial 16S ribosomal RNA
Rfam family: Bacterial small subunit ribosomal RNA
Source: RNAcentral
CCUACGGGGGGCAGCAGUGAGGAAUAUUGGUCAAUGGACGCAAGUCUGAACCAGCCAUGCCGCGUGCAGGAUGACGGCUCUAUGAGUUGUAAACUGCUUUUGUACGAGGGUAAACCCCGAUACGUGUAUCGGGUUGAAAGUAUCGUACGAAUAAGGAUCGGCUAACUCCGUGCCAGCAGCCGCGGUAAUACGGAGGAUCCGAGCGUUAUCCGGAUUUAUUGGGUUUAAAGGGUGCGUAGGCGGUUUGAUAAGUUAGAGGUGAAAUGUCGGGGCUCAACCCCGAAACUGCCUCUAAUACUGUUGGACUAGAGAAUAGUUGCGGUAGGCGGAAUGUAUGGUGUAGCGGUGAAAGGCUUAGAGAUCAUACAGAACACCGAUUGCGAAGGCAGCUUACCAAACUAUAUCUGACGUUGAGGCACGAAAGCGUGGGUAGCAAACAGGAUUAGAUACCCGAGUAGUC